Molecule: non-coding RNA, 91 nt
Filed under: Nocardia sp.
Lineage: Bacteria; Bacillati; Actinomycetota; Actinomycetes; Mycobacteriales; Nocardiaceae
Also listed under: 1 other name
Description: Glycine sequence
Rfam family: Glycine riboswitch aptamer
About the family: This family represents the bacterial glycine riboswitch. Glycine riboswitches usually consist of two metabolite-binding aptamers domains with similar structures in tandem. The aptamers cooperatively bind glycine to regulate the expression of downstream genes.
Source: RNAcentral
CGAUGUCGCGCGGGAGAGUCCCCUUGAGCGGGGACGCCGAAGGAGCAACUCCUCCCCGGAAUCUCUCAGGUACAGGUACCGCACGACGAAG